RNAcentral lists this ribosomal RNA (491 nucleotides) under uncultured bacterium. Its description in RNAcentral is "partial 16S ribosomal RNA". It matches the Rfam family "Bacterial small subunit ribosomal RNA", at positions 28 to 506 of the family's 1533-position model. The record is from RNAcentral.
GAUGAACGCUAGCUACAGGCUUAACACAUGCAAGUCGAGGGGAAACGACAUCGCAAGCUUGCUUUUGAUGGGCGUCGACCGGCGCACGGGUGAGUAACGCGUAUCCAACCUGCCCAUCACUUGGGAAUAACCUUGCGAAAGUAAGACUAAUACCCAAUGAUAUCCCACGAAGGCAUCGGAAUGGGAUUAAAGAUUUAUCGGUGAUGGAUGGGGAUGCGUCUGAUUAGCUUGUUGGCGGGGUAACGGCCCACCAAGGCAACGAUCAGUAGGGGUUCUGAGAGGAAGGUCCCUCACAUUGGAACUGGGACACGGUCCAAACUCCUACGGGAGGCAGCAGUGAGGAAUAUUGGUCAAUGGGCGAGAGCCUGAACCAGCCAAGUAGCGUGCAGGAAGACGGCCCUAUGGGUUGUAAACUGCUUUUAUAAGGGAAUAAAGUGGGUCACGUGUGACUUUUUGCAUGUACCUUAUGAAUAAGGACCGGCUAAUUCCGU